This 440-nucleotide ribosomal RNA is filed under the name uncultured bacterium. RNAcentral describes it as "partial 16S ribosomal RNA". It matches the Rfam family "Bacterial small subunit ribosomal RNA", at positions 338 to 795 of the family's 1533-position model. The record is from RNAcentral.
CCUACGGGUGGCAGCAGUGGGGAAUAUUGCACAAUGGGGGAAACCCUGAUGCAGCGACGCCGCGUGAGUGAAGAAGUAUUUCGGUACGUAAAGCUCUAUCAGCAUGGAAGAAAAUGACGGUACCUGACUAAGAAGCCCCGGCUAACUACGUGCCAGCAGCCGCGGUAAUACGUAGGGGGCAAGCGUUAUCCGGAUUUACUGGGUGUAAAGGGAGCGUAGACGGCAGGGCAAGUCUGAAGUGAAAUCCCGGGGCUUAACCAUGGAACUGCGUUGGAAACUGUGCAGCUGGAGUGUAGGAGAGGUAAGCGGAAUUCCUAGUGUAGCGGUGAAAUGCGUAGAUAUUAGGAGGAACACCAGUGGCGAAGGCGGCCUACUGGACUGUAACUGACGUUGAGGCUCGAAAGCGUGGGGAGCAAACAGGAUUAGAUACCCUAGUAGUC